CGGGUGAGUAACGCGUGGGUAACCUGCCUCACACUGGGGGAUAACAGUUAGAAAUAGCUGCUAAUACCGCAUAAGCGCACAGUACCACAUGGUACAGUGUGAAAAACUCCGGUGGUAUGAGAUGGACCCGCGUCUGAUUAGCUAGUUGGUGAGGUAACGGCCCACCAAGGCAACGAUCAGUAGCCGACCUGAGAGGGUGACCGGCCACAUUGGGACUGAGACACGGCCCAG
RNAcentral lists this ribosomal RNA (231 nucleotides) under uncultured bacterium. RNAcentral's name for it is "partial 16S ribosomal RNA". It matches the Rfam family "Bacterial small subunit ribosomal RNA", at positions 103 to 334 of the family's 1533-position model. The record is from RNAcentral.